This 460-nucleotide ribosomal RNA is filed under the name uncultured bacterium. RNAcentral's name for it is "partial 16S ribosomal RNA". It matches the Rfam family "Bacterial small subunit ribosomal RNA", at positions 338 to 795 of the family's 1533-position model. The record is from RNAcentral.
CCUACGGGCGGCUGCAGUGAGGAAUAUUGGUCAAUGGACGAGAGUCUGAACCAGCCAAGUAGCGUGAAGGAUGACUGCCCUAUGGGUUGUAAACUUCUUUUAUAUGGGAGUAAAAUGUUCCACGUGUGGGAUUUUGUCUGUAUCAUAUGAAUAAGGAUCGGCUAACUCAGUGCCAGCAGCCGCGGUAAUACGGAGGGUCCGAGCGUUAUCCGGAUUUAUUGGGUUUAAAGGGAGCGUAGGUGGAUUGUUAAGUCAGUUGUGAAAGUUUGGGGCUCAACCGUAAAAUUGCAGUUGAAACUGGCAGUCUUGAGUGCAGGAGAGGUAGGCGGAAUUCGUGGUGUAGCGGUGAAAUGCUUAGAUAUUACGAAUAACUCCGAUGGCGAAGGCAGCUCACUGGACUGCAACUGACACUGAGGCUCGAAAGUGUGGGUAGCAAACAGGAUUAGAUACCCUUGUAGUC